RNAcentral lists this ribosomal RNA (500 nucleotides) under uncultured bacterium. RNAcentral describes it as "partial 16S ribosomal RNA". It matches the Rfam family "Bacterial small subunit ribosomal RNA", at positions 30 to 523 of the family's 1533-position model. The record is from RNAcentral.
AUUGAACGCUGGCGGAAUGCUUUACACAUGCAAGUCGAACGGCAGCACGGACUUCGGUCUGGUGGCGAGUGGCGAACGGGUGAGUAAUGUAUCGGAACGUGCCCAGUCGUGGGGGAUAACGUAGUGAAAAUUACGCUAAUACCGCAUACGAUCUAUGGAUGAAAGCGGGGGAUCGCAAGACCUCGCGCGAUUGGAGCGGCCGAUAUCAGAUUAGGUAGUUGGUGGGGUAAAGGCCCACCAAGCAAACGAUCUGUAGCUGGUCUGAGAGGACGACCAGCCACACUGGAACUGAGACACGGUCCAGACUCCUACGGGAGGCGGCAGUGGGGAAUUUUGGACAAUGGGCGAAAGCCUGAUCCAGCCAUUCCGCGUGCAGGAUGAAGGCCCUCGGGUUGUAAACUGCUUUUGUACAGAACGAAAAGGUUUCUACUAAUACUAGGAGCUCAUGACGGUACUGUAAGAAUAAGCACCGGCUAACUACGUGCCAGCAGCCGCAGUAA